AGCUAUGGAGUUGUGGAGGAGAAUUGUAACCCGUACAAAGGUUUAGACGGAUCCUGUUCAACACGUAAUUGUAUAAGGCACUAUACAGCGUCCUACUCCUAUGUCGGAAGAACUGCGGAGGUUUAAUAAAUGUAUAAUUAAAGCAAUAUACAGUCUCCUACUCCUAUGUUGGAGUAUACUACGGAGGUUCAUUAAAUGUAUAGUUAAGACAUUAUACAGCCUCCUACUCCUCUGUAGGAGAAUACUGCGGAGGUUUAAUGAAUAUCUGAUUAAGGUACUAUACAGCCUCCACUCCUAUGUCGGAGACUACUCAUGAGGUUAAUUGAAUUAAAGCAAUAUACAGCCUCCUACUCCUAUGUCGGAAGAACUGCGGAGGUUUAAUAAAUGUAAAAUUAAAGCAAUAUACAGCCUCCUACUCCUAUGUAGGAGAAUACUUCGCAGGUUUAAUGAAUAUCUGAUUAAGGUACUAUACAGCCUCCACUCCUAUGUCGGAGGCUACUCAUGAAGUUAAUUGAAUGUCUG
This is a long non-coding RNA of Eurytemora carolleeae, 522 nucleotides long. RefSeq lists it as uncharacterized. The transcript is spliced from 3 exons. The record is from RefSeq and is a predicted model, not a curated record. Lineage: Eukaryota; Metazoa; Arthropoda; Copepoda; Calanoida; Temoridae.